CACCCCGACAGCUGAGCAGUCUACUUCAGGAGUCUCUUAUCAUUUCUCGGGCAGCAUAUGAUGCCCUUAUGCAGCUUCACAUUCAGGAUAUUCCUGAGCCUUCUCACGCGGCUUCGACCCAGUCAGGUACUGCCCUUCUUGCGUCAUCCUCUCCUACCUCCUGGGUCAUCGACUCUGGAGCUUCCUCCCAUAUGACUGGACCUACAGACGAAGAGAGUGAUUGGUGGGGGGCAUGAGCGAGGAGGCGUUUAUCUUCUCGAUGAUACACCUGUUGCCGCUUCUAGUACCCUUUCUCUAGAUCAAGAGUCCAUGACUCGGUGGCAUUGCCGCUUAGGCCACCCAUCCAUUGCUAGAUUGAGACUUGUAUUUCCCUCCUUACCUGUCACUAAACCAUUAUGCUGUGAUAUUUGUGAAUUGUCUAAACAUUAUCGUGCUACGUUUCCUCCUAGCUCUUCUGGGAGGAAAUCUCAACCUUUUCUUCUGGUUCACUCGGAUGUUUGGGGACCAGCUCCGGUUACUUCGACUUUUGGAUUUAGAUAUUUUGUUACCUUUAUUGAUGAUUAUUCCCGCA
This is a long non-coding RNA of Magnolia sinica, 571 nucleotides long. RefSeq lists it as uncharacterized. The transcript has 2 exons. NCBI's taxonomy places the organism in Eukaryota, Viridiplantae, Streptophyta, Magnoliopsida, Magnoliales, Magnoliaceae. The record is from RefSeq and is a predicted model, not a curated record.